RNAcentral lists this small RNA (118 nucleotides) under Marmota monax (woodchuck). The record is from RNAcentral. Lineage: Eukaryota; Metazoa; Chordata; Mammalia; Rodentia; Sciuridae.
GCUGGGUGCAGUGGUGCAUGCCUGUAAUCCCAGUGGCUCAGGAGGCUAAGGCAGGAGGAUCACAAGUUCAAAGCCAGCCUAGCAAGGCACUAAGCAACUCAGUGAGACCCUGUCUCUA